RNAcentral lists this long non-coding RNA (774 nucleotides) under Pan troglodytes (chimpanzee). RNAcentral's name for it is "lincRNA". The record is from RNAcentral. Lineage: Eukaryota; Metazoa; Chordata; Mammalia; Primates; Hominidae.
CUACUGUAAUGAAUUGCCACAACUUGGAGGCUUAGAACAACACAAAUUAGUACUCUCACAGUCCUGAAGGCUACAGCUCUGCAAUCAAGGUAUGAGCAAGGCCAUCAUUCCCCUAAGGCUCUAAGGAAGAAUCCAUUUUUGCCUCUUCCUGCUUCUGGGAUGCAUCCACUUUAUUAGACGGCAAACUAGAAAAUGCUUCCUACAGUCGCCACAUAAAAAGAAUUAUCAUCAUGCCAAACAAAUUAUCCUCGGCGCCAAUGAUGUGAGAAGUGAGCAGAAAGAGCAAUGCAACAGGUUUUCUUUUCUGGCCAUGCCAAGGUGGAAGGUGAUCUUAAUUGAAGAAAGAAUGCUCAAAGUAGGUAUGUGCAGUUUCAGAAGUACAGCUAUAUAACAUCCGCUAUGCCUUGUCCAGUAACACUCUCCUUAAUCCAGGCUCUCACAUGGAUUGUCCUUCCUAUAUUAUAAUCCUCCACAUGUCUUUCCUUUACAGAGUUAAUCCCAAAUUAAGUAUUUCAAAUAUCUAAUACAGUUGUGUUAGAAAAAGAAAUUCUCAAGUUCUGAGAUUAUGGAAUAUCCUGAAAGAACGCUAAAGCAACUAUACCCCUUAAAGAAAGAUCAUUAUCAACUUGUAGAAAACUAAUCCUAUAGUGUGGUGAGAAUUUUUGGCAGUCAUAUUGCACCACUCUCAUACUUUUAACAAUGCAUUUAUGAGAACCACCUACAAUAAAAAAAUGGCAAUAAGAUUAGCAACUAGUGUUAUUUGUUAUAUUUUCC